RNAcentral lists this ribosomal RNA (443 nucleotides) under uncultured bacterium. RNAcentral's name for it is "partial 16S ribosomal RNA". It matches the Rfam family "Bacterial small subunit ribosomal RNA", at positions 338 to 795 of the family's 1533-position model. The record is from RNAcentral.
CCUACGGGAGGCAGCAGUGGGGAAUAUUGGGCAAUGGUCGCAAGCCUGACCCAGCAACGCCGCGUGAAGGAAGAAGGCUUUCGGGUUGUAAACUUCUUUUGUCAGGGACGAAGCAAGUGACGGUACCUGACGAAUAAGCCACGGCUGACGACGUGCCAGCAGCCGCGGUAAUUCGUCGGUGGCAAGCGUUAUCCGGAUUUAAUGGGUGUAAAGGGCGUGUAGGCGGGACUGCAAGUCAGAUGUGAAAACCACGGGCUCAACCUGUGGCCUGCAGUUGAAACUGUAGUUCUUGAGUAGUGGAGAGGCAGACGGAAUUCCUAGUGUAGCGGUGAAAUGCGUAGAUAUUAGGAGGAACACCAGUGGCGAAGGCGGUCUGCUGGACAGCAACUGACGCUGAGGCGCGAAAGCGUGGGGAGCAAACAGGAUUAGAUACCCUUGUAGUC